CUAGUAGAGGUAACUGGCCUGUGACGAGGAAAGGCAUGCUUUGUAGUACAGUGUGUAGGUUGGAUAUUAAUUAGGUUACUACGAUAGGCUGCUUUGGCAGACUUAUUACGAUUUAAAACCACCUCUAGCCGAUGAGGGGAAGGAAAGCGAUAUUCUUUGAUAGGUUGGGUUGUGAUUCGAACAGGAAUUGGGAUAUUUAUUAAAUUAUGUCUCCCUAUAACUACUUUCUCGGUUGGAAUAUUUAUAAAAUUUUGUCUCCCCACAUGAUAGCCUAUGCGAGGUGUCAUUUGCACCGGAAUUUUGUUCUGUUCUCUGAUAGUUAGGGUGGGUAUUGG
Paramuricea clavata is the source of this 335-nucleotide non-coding RNA. NCBI's taxonomy places the organism in Eukaryota, Metazoa, Cnidaria, Anthozoa, Malacalcyonacea, Plexauridae. The record is from the annotation of a GenBank genome assembly.